GAUCCUCUCAGGAUGAACGCUAGCGACAGGCCUAACACAUGCAAGUCGAGGGGCAGCGGAGAGGUAGCAAUACCUUUGCCGGCGACCGGCGCACGGGUGAGUAACACGUAUGCAAUCCACCUGUAACAGGGGGAUAACCCGGAGAAAUCCGGACUAAUACCCCAUAAUAUGGGCGCUCCGCAUGGAGAGCCCAUUAAAGAGAGCAAUUUUGGUUACAGACGAGCAUGCGCUCCAUUAG
Molecule: ribosomal RNA, 238 nt
Filed under: uncultured bacterium
Lineage: Bacteria
Description: partial 16S ribosomal RNA
Rfam family: Bacterial small subunit ribosomal RNA
Source: RNAcentral